Papaver somniferum (opium poppy) is the source of this 527-nucleotide long non-coding RNA. RefSeq lists it as uncharacterized. The record is from RefSeq and is a predicted model, not a curated record. The transcript has 3 exons. Lineage: Eukaryota; Viridiplantae; Streptophyta; Magnoliopsida; Ranunculales; Papaveraceae.
AUAGGACUAAAAUGAAUUGAAUUGAUAUCCACACACUUAAAACUCUCCGAAUCCAAAGAACUUUCAUUAUAUUCAAAGUUCCGUAAGCAAACUCAAAUUAUCAAAAAUGGCUUGUGGUUGCACUUCUUGUGGCACUAACUGCAGUUGUGGAUGCAAGUCCGCUGCAAAAGAAAACCUCGAGGGAGGAUGCAAGUGUGGAGACAACAACUGCACUUGUACCGAUUGCAAGUGUUAAUGCAGAAAUGAUGAAGAGGAGGGAUUAUUUACAUGUCAACGAAUAUCCCUGAUGAAAUGAUCAUACUAUGGUGUCGUUUGUGGGUGUCUUUGUUGUUAAAAUAAAGUAGUCAUGAUUAGCAAUGUUUGAGAUUCAAGGGUUGUUACAUAUUAUUCAUGGCUACAUAGUGUUUGUGUACAUGUUGCUAAUUCAGUUGUGUAAAAGUGGUGAUGGGAGAUGUUGUUUCAGUCCUGUGGUUUUCAUAAUACUAUUACGAGCAAAAACCUGUUGUUUUACUCCUGUUAUUAAUUCA